AUACAGCCAUGCCGCGUGCAGGAUGAAGGCCUUCGGGUUGUAAACUGCUUUUGUACGGAACGAAAAGACUCUUUCUAAUACAGAGGGUCCAUGACGGUACCGUAAGAAUAAGCACCGGCUAACUACGUGCCAGCAGCCGCGAUAAUAAGGGAGCCAG
Molecule: ribosomal RNA, 157 nt
Filed under: uncultured bacterium
Lineage: Bacteria
Description: partial 16S ribosomal RNA
Rfam family: Bacterial small subunit ribosomal RNA
Source: RNAcentral